GAUGAACGCUGGCGGCGUGCUUAACACAUGCAAGUCGAACGGGCCAUAUUCGUAUGGUCAGUGGCAGACGGGUGCGUAACACGUAGGUGACCUGCCUCGGAGUGGGGAACAACUCCGCGAAAGCGGAGCUAAUACCGCAUAUGCUCGGUGAUUCGGUUGAUCGAGUAAAGGCGAAAGUCGCUUCGAGAUGGGCCUGCGGCGGAUUAGCUAGUUGGUGGGGUAACGGCCUACCAAGGCGAUGAUCCGUAGGGGGCGUGAGAGCGUGGCCCCCCACAUUGGCACUGAGACACGGGCCAAACUCCUACGGGAGGCUG
This 314-nucleotide ribosomal RNA is filed under the name uncultured Chloroflexota bacterium. RNAcentral's name for it is "bacterial SSU rRNA". It matches the Rfam family "Bacterial small subunit ribosomal RNA", at positions 28 to 351 of the family's 1533-position model. Lineage: Bacteria; Bacillati; Chloroflexota. The record is from RNAcentral.